This 306-nucleotide ribosomal RNA is filed under the name uncultured bacterium. RNAcentral's name for it is "bacterial SSU rRNA". It matches the Rfam family "Bacterial small subunit ribosomal RNA", at positions 1197 to 1502 of the family's 1533-position model. The record is from RNAcentral.
GGCCCUUACGAGUAGGGCUACACACGUGCUACAAUGGCGCAUACAGAGGGCGGCCAACUUGCGAAAGUGAGCGAAUCCCAAAAAGUGCGUCGUAGUCCGGAUUGGAGUCUGCAACUCGACUCCAUGAAGUCGGAAUCGCUAGUAAUCGUGGAUCAGAAUGCCACGGUGAAUACGUUCCCGGGCCUUGUACACACCGCCCGUCACACCAUGGGAGUGGGCUGCAAAAGAAGUGGGUAGUUUAACCUUCGGGAGGACGCUCACCACUUUGUGGUUCAUGACUGGGGUGAAGUCGUAACAAGGUAACCG